AUUUUAUUUCACCAAUUUAGAGAGAGCAGUAGACUUGUAAUGAACUGCUAUCGCCUGGUGUGUUUUAUGUUUAUUCUAUUUUUUACGUUUAUAAUUGUUGACGAAGAGGAUUUAUCUACUAAAUGGAGAAUUUCGGAGGGAUUUGCUGCUGCAAAGGUCAGCCAAAAAUAGGCACUUUGGGAAAAUAGCGUUGGGACAAUAUUUACAAUUUUAUUUUAAUUGGUGGUCCUUUUGAUGUCCCAUAAUCCCGCAUUAACUUAAGAAACCUGUGUCAAGGUUACACACUUAAUUCAGAAUUUACUCGUUUUACAUCCAAGUUGCGAAAUUUAAAGUUAAAAUAUACUAGUGGAGAGAAGAAGCAAUUUGGAGAAUUUUCUCAAUGUCAGUCAUUUUUGACAACAUUUAGCAAUUUUGGAUUUUAUCAUCUGAAAUGUGGCAUUUAGUGGAUCAGUGUAUGCGUGUUCAGUCCCGCAUUGUGUGAAGCACAAGGCCUGUACAUAUACGUCUCUAGGUGCUUUGAUUCAAUGUGGCAUUUGGUGGAUCAGUGUAUGCGUGUUCAGUCCCGCAUUGGAUGAAGCACAAGGCCUGUACGUGUACGUGUCUAGGUGCUUUGCUUCAAUGUGGCAUUUAAUGGAUCAGUGUAUGCACAUUCAGUCGCGCAUUGGAUGAAGCACACAGUCUGUACGUGUAAGUGUCUAGGUGCUUUGAUUCAAUGUGGCAUUUAGUGGAUCAGUGCAUGCGUGUUCAGUCCCGCAUUGGAUGAAGCACAAGGCCUGUACGUGUACGUGUCUAGGUGCUUUGCUUCAAUGUGGCAUUUAAUGGAUCAGUGUAUGCACAUUCAGUCGCGCAUUGGAUGAAGCACACAGUCUGUACGUGUAAGUGUCUAGGUGCUUUGAUUCAAUGUGGCAUUUAGUGGAUCAGUGCAUGCGUGUUCAGUCCCGCAUUGGAUGAAGCACAAGGCCUGUACGUGUACGUGUCUAGGUGCUUUGCUUCAAUGUGGCAUUUAAUGGAUCAGUGUAUGCACAUUCAGUCGCGCAUUGGAUGAAGCACACGGCCUGUACGUGUACGUGUCUAGGUGCUUUGAUUCAAUGUGGCAUUUAGUGGAUCAGUGAAUGUGUGUUCAGUCCCGCAUUGUAUGAAGCACAAGGCCUGUACGUGUACGUCUCUAGGUUCUUGAUUCAAUGUGGCAUUUAGUGGAUCAGUGUAUGCGUGUUCAGUCCCGCAUUGUAUGAAGCACACGGCCUGUAUGUGUACGUCUCUAGGUGCUUUGCUUCAAUGUGGCAUUUAGUGGAUCAGUGCAUGCGUGUUCAGUCCCACAUUGUAUGAAGCACAUGGCCUGUACGUGUACGUGUCUAGGUGCUUUGAUUCAAUGUGGCAUUUAGUGGAUCAGUGUAUGCGUGUUCAGUCCCGCAUUGUAUGAAGCACACGGCCUGUACGUGUACGUGUCUAGGUGCUUUGAUUCAAUGUGGCAUUUAGUGGAUCAGUGUAUGCGUGUUCAGUCCCGCAUUGUGUGAAGCACAAGGCCUGUACAUAUACGUCUCUAGGUGCUUUGAUUCAAUGUGGCAUUUAGUGGAUCAGUGUAUGCGUGUUCAGUCCCGCAUUGGAUGAAGCACAAGGCCUGUACGUGUACGUCUCUUGGUGCUUUGCUUCAAUGUGGCAUUUAAUGGAUCAGUGUAUGCACAUUCAGUCCCGCAUUGGAUGAAGCACACGGCCUGUACGUGUAAGUGUCUAGGUGCUUUGAUUCAAUGUGGCAUUUAGUGGAUCAGUGUAUGCGUGUUCAGUCCCGCAUUGUAUGAAGCACAAGGCCUGUACGUGUACGUCUCUAGGUGCUUUGAUUCAAUGUGGCAUUUAGUGGAUCAGUGUAUGCGUGUUCAGUCCUGCAUUGUAUGAAGCACACGGUCUGUACGUGUACGUCUCUAGGUUCUUGAUUCAAUGUGGCAUUUAGUGGAUCAGUGUAUGCGUGUUCAGUCCCGCAUUGUAUAAAGCACAAGGCCUGUACGUGUACGUCUCUAGGUUCUUGAUUCAAUGUGGCAUUUAGUGGAUCAGUGUAUGCGUGUUCAGUCCCGCAUUGUAUGAAGCACACGGCCUGUAUGUGUACGUCUCUAGGUGCUUUGCUUCAAUGUGGCAUUUAGUGGAUCAGUGUAUGCACAUUCAGUCCCGUAUUGUAUGAAGCACACGACCUGUACGUGUACGUGUCUAGGUGCUUUGAUUCAAUGUGGCAUUUAGUGGAUCAGUGUAUGCGUGUUCAGUCCCGCAUUGUAUGAAGCACACGGCCUGUACGUGUACGUCUCUUGGUGCUUUGCUUCAAUGUGGCAUUUAGUGGAUCAGUGUAUGCGUGUUCAGUCCCGCAUUGUAUGAAGCACACGGUCUGUACGUGUACGUCUCUAGGUGCUUUGCUUCAAUGUGGCAUUUAGUGGAUCAGUGUAUGCGUGUUCAGUCCCGCAUUGUAUGAAGCACAAGGCCUGUACGUGUACGUCUCUAGGUUCUUGAUUCAAUGUGGCAUUUAGUGGAUCAGUGUAUGCGUGUUCAGUGCCGCAUUGUAUGAAGCACACGGCCUGUACGUGUACGUCUCUAGGUGCUUUGCUUCAAUGUGGCAUUUAGUGGGUCAGUGUAUGCGUGUUCAGUCCCGCAUUGUAUGAAGCACAUGGCCUGUACGUGUACGUGUCUAGGUGCUUUGAUUCAAUGUGGCAUUUAGUGGAUCAGUGUAUGCGUGUUCAGUCCCGCAUUGUAUGAAGCACAAGGCCUGUACGUGUACGUCUCUAGGUUCUUGAUUCAAUGUGGCAUUUAGUGGAUCAGUGUAUGCGUGUUCAGUCCCGCAUUGUAUGAAGCACACGGCCUGUAUGUGUACGUCUCUAGGUGCUUUGCUUCAAUGUGGCAUUUAGUGGAUCAGUGUAUGCGUGUUCAGUCCCGCAUUGUAUGAAGCACGCGGCCUGUAUGUGUACGUCUCUAGGUGCUUUGCUUCAAUGUUGCAUUUAGUGGAUCAGUGUAUGCGUGUUCAGUCCCGCAUUGUAUGAAGCACACGGUCUGUACGUGUACGUCUCUAGCUGCUUUGAUUCAAUGCGGCAUUUAGUGGAUUGGUGUAUGCGUGUUCAGUCCCGCAUUGUAUGAAGCACACGGCCUGUACGUGUACGUAUCUAGGUGCUUUGCUUCAAUGCGGCAUUUAGUGGAUCAGUGUAUGCGUGUUCAGUCCCGCAUUGUAUGAAGCACACGGCCUGUACGUGUACGUCUCUAGGUGCUUUGCUUCAAUGUGGCAUUUAGUGGAUCAGUGUAUGCGUGUUCAGUCCCGCAUUGUAUGAAGCACACGGCCUGUACGUGUACGUCUCUAGGUGCUUUGCUUCAAUGUGGCAUUUAGUGGAUCAGUGUAUGCGUGUUCAGUCCCGCAUUGUAUGAAGCACACGGCCUGUACGUGUACGUCUCUUGGUGCUUUGAUUCAAUGUGGCAUUUAGUGGAUCAGUGUAUGCACAUUCAGUCCGGCAUUGUAUGAAGCACACGGCCUGUACGUGUACGUCUCUAGGUUCUUGAUUCAAUGUGGCAUUUAGUGGAUCAGUGUAUGCGUGUUCAGUCCCGCAUUGUAUGAAGCACACGGCCUGUACGUGUACGUCUCUUGGUGCUUUGCUUCAAUGUGGACUAAUCUGCAGUUUUAAUCAAGAGAAUGACAUGGUGAAUUUACGCUGCCUUUGUACUAUACCCACGGCUCAACUAUAAAUCCUCAUAUCUGGGUUAUUAAUGUAAAGUACAUUUAUUUUUUGGCAGAAGCCCAGGAGACAUAGUGGCCUAAUUCCCAUCUCCGUUGGUGCCCACUCUCUUUUAUAUAGAUUUGGUUAACAAACACAAUUAAGUUCAAAAUCAAGCAAUUUGUUUUAUUUUCUGGAAAUAGGCAAAAAUAAUGAUUAAUAUUUAUUACAAUGCUGCCGCCCAUCCCAUGUUUUCCCUAUUAAGGGUUAAUAAGUAUAUAGGGGUGUAUAUAAAAAAUACCCCUCUCUGUCUCAUUAGAGAUAUCUUUGCCAGAAGCUCAUGGAAGCAAGGUGAAAGGCUAGUGUAGGACCUGUCUAGGGGGGGUCUGCCUUGACGUUGGCAGGUGGGCUUGCAUCUAAUGGCCAUUGGAGUAACUAAAUGACCUCCAUUUAUUUAAAUAUACAGAGGGAUUAAGGAGAGAGCGCAGGUAACUUUUUUUCUUUGAUUUUUACUGUAUGUAUCAGGGCUGAUGUGUACUAUAGUCGUUGCUGCCGCCCAGGAGUAAUGGGAGUUUGAGUGCAGGACUUGUUUUUUUUUAAUUUGUAUUAAUAUAUAUUAGUAUUUAUUUAUUUAUUUAUUUAUUUUCUAACAGUAUAAUUAGUCCUUUCACCUAUAAAAGAACGUUUGUUUUUCUGUAGAGUUCCACAUCCGUAAAUGGAUUAAAUAUCACCCGCUUAUUUCAGAUUGGUUGUCCAUGUGGUAUUGAUGGUAUAAUCAGAUAUUAAUAUUAGUCCAUACUAAUUUCUCAUUUGUCUUCCAUUUGACAUUAAAGUUGAUAGAAAAAAUCCCAUCAGCUUAAAAUAUUUCUCUUGCGUGGAACCGGGCCAAUGAAUGACUGGCGUAGACAAUGUGGCCUUCGUAGGAAUGUAACAUCACUGCUUACAUCAACUCCACGCUAAGAGGGCCUGUUUGCUGGUAAACCAUCCCAAGCGUCUCUGAAACAGUUAAAUCAGUUAAACCAGUUUAACGUCAUUUUAUGCAUUUUCUCACAAACGAUCUCAUAUUUUGAUAUCAGCAGUUCAUCCUGAGAAUUUUUACUAUUAAUAUCUUUAUUUUCAGUUUUUUAUGGGCGUUAUCAGAAUUUCAAGCACAACAUCUGGGAAGUCACUGAG
Pelobates cultripes (western spadefoot toad) is the source of this 4847-nucleotide non-coding RNA. Lineage: Eukaryota; Metazoa; Chordata; Amphibia; Anura; Pelobatidae. The record is from the annotation of a GenBank genome assembly.